This 1478-nucleotide ribosomal RNA is filed under the name Lacticaseibacillus rhamnosus. Its description in RNAcentral is "bacterial SSU rRNA". It matches the Rfam family "Bacterial small subunit ribosomal RNA". The record is from RNAcentral. Lineage: Bacteria; Bacillati; Bacillota; Bacilli; Lactobacillales; Lactobacillaceae.
CAGUGGGGGGGGGCCUAUACAUGCAAGUCGAACGAGUUCUGAUUAUUGAAAGGUGCUUGCAUCUUGAUUUAAUUUUGAACGAGUGGCGGACGGGUGAGUAACACGUGGGUAACCUGCCCUUAAGUGGGGGAUAACAUUUGGAAACAGAUGCUAAUACCGCAUAAAUCCAAGAACCGCAUGGUUCUUGGCUGAAAGAUGGCGUAAGCUAUCGCUUUUGGAUGGACCCGCGGCGUAUUAGCUAGUUGGUGAGGUAACGGCUCACCAAGGCAAUGAUACGUAGCCGAACUGAGAGGUUGAUCGGCCACAUUGGGACUGAGACACGGCCCAAACUCCUACGGGAGGCAGCAGUAGGGAAUCUUCCACAAUGGACGCAAGUCUGAUGGAGCAACGCCGCGUGAGUGAAGAAGGCUUUCGGGUCGUAAAACUCUGUUGUUGGAGAAGAAUGGUCGGCAGAGUAACUGUUGUCGGCGUGACGGUAUCCAACCAGAAAGCCACGGCUAACUACGUGCCAGCAGCCGCGGUAAUACGUAGGUGGCAAGCGUUAUCCGGAUUUAUUGGGCGUAAAGCGAGCGCAGGCGGUUUUUUAAGUCUGAUGUGAAAGCCCUCGGCUUAACCGAGGAAGUGCAUCGGAAACUGGGAAACUUGAGUGCAGAAGAGGACAGUGGAACUCCAUGUGUAGCGGUGAAAUGCGUAGAUAUAUGGAAGAACACCAGUGGCGAAGGCGGCUGUCUGGUCUGUAACUGACGCUGAGGCUCGAAAGCAUGGGUAGCGAACAGGAUUAGAUACCCUGGUAGUCCAUGCCGUAAACGAUGAAUGCUAGGUGUUGGAGGGUUUCCGCCCUUCAGUGCCGCAGCUAACGCAUUAAGCAUUCCGCCUGGGGAGUACGACCGCAAGGUUGAAACUCAAAGGAAUUGACGGGGGCCCGCACAAGCGGUGGAGCAUGUGGUUUAAUUCGAAGCAACGCGAAGAACCUUACCAGGUCUUGACAUCUUUUGAUCACCUGAGAGAUCAGGUUUCCCCUUCGGGGGCAAAAUGACAGGUGGUGCAUGGUUGUCGUCAGCUCGUGUCGUGAGAUGUUGGGUUAAGUCCCGCAACGAGCGCAACCCUUAUGACUAGUUGCCAGCAUUUAGUUGGGCACUCUAGUAAGACUGCCGGUGACAAACCGGAGGAAGGUGGGGAUGACGUCAAAUCAUCAUGCCCCUUAUGACCUGGGCUACACACGUGCUACAAUGGAUGGUACAACGAGUUGCGAGACCGCGAGGUCAAGCUAAUCUCUUAAAGCCAUUCUCAGUUCGGACUGUAGGCUGCAACUCGCCUACACGAAGUCGGAAUCGCUAGUAAUCGCGGAUCAGCACGCCGCGGUGAAUACGUUCCCGGGCCUUGUACACACCGCCCGUCACACCGAUGAGAGUUUGUAACACCCGAAGCCGGUGGCGUAACCCUUUUAGGGAGCGAGCCGUCUAAAGGGACCAAAAUUC